This 72-nucleotide transfer RNA is filed under the name Bacidia sp. RNAcentral describes it as "tRNA-Ile". It matches the Rfam family "tRNA". From Rfam's summary of the family: Transfer RNA (tRNA) molecules are approximately 80 nucleotides in length. Their secondary structure includes four short double-helical elements and three loops (D, anti-codon, and T loops). Further hydrogen bonds mediate the characteristic L-shaped molecular structure. tRNAs have two regions of fundamental functional importance: the anti-codon, which is responsible for specific mRNA codon recognition, and the 3' end, to which the tRNAs corresponding amino acid is attached (by aminoacyl-tRNA synthetases). tRNAs cope with the degeneracy of the genetic code in two manners: having more than one tRNA (with a specific anti-codon) for a particular amino acid; and 'wobble' base-pairing, i.e. permitting non-standard base-pairing at the 3rd anti-codon position. Lineage: Eukaryota; Fungi; Ascomycota; Lecanoromycetes; Lecanorales; Ramalinaceae. The record is from RNAcentral.
GGUUCCUUAACUUAAUUGGUAAAGUAUGCUUUUGAUAAGGGUAUGUUCAGCGUUCGAUUCGCUGAGGAAUCA